RNAcentral lists this long non-coding RNA (505 nucleotides) under Linum usitatissimum (flax). RNAcentral describes it as "long non-coding RNA (LUSI_LNC003017)". The record is from RNAcentral. Lineage: Eukaryota; Viridiplantae; Streptophyta; Magnoliopsida; Malpighiales; Linaceae.
AGAAGAAGAAGAAGAAGAAGAAAUGACUGAAAAAACAAUGAACGACGGACGUUGAAUACAGAAACCCAGCUAGAUUUCUGUGUUUUUAUUAUUGGACGAAAAGUUUAACUGCAAAUUUUAUCUGUUGUUAGUUUUAACGGGAGAUAAAAUUUACUAUUAGAUUUAACCACGGAUAAAAUCCGAUGUUAGCUUAACAGCGGAUAUAUAUCCGUUGUUAGCUUAUUUACCAUUACUUAACCUAACGGCUUUAACAGGGAAUAAAAUACGUUGUUAGUUUAACAGCAGAUAAAAAUCCGUCGUUAGCUUAUUUACCAUUACUUAACCUAACGGCGGAUUUCUAUCUGUUGUUAGAAUUUCUAACAGCGGACUAUUCGUUGUUAAAAUAAUAAAAACCGUCAUUAAACAUGUCGUUUCUUGUAGUGUAUGAUAUGGAUUAACUAUUGAUAAAUGAGUUAGUUGGAUUAAUUGGUUUUCUAAUUGUCAUUUUUUUAAAACUCAAGCAUAU